ACUGUCACCGGCCCCAUCACUC
RNAcentral lists this non-coding RNA (22 nucleotides) under Mus musculus (house mouse). Lineage: Eukaryota; Metazoa; Chordata; Mammalia; Rodentia; Muridae. The record is from RNAcentral.